Molecule: unclassified non-coding RNA, 306 nt
Filed under: plant metagenome
Description: partial contains 5.8S ribosomal RNA, internal transcribed spacer 2, and large subunit ribosomal RNA
Rfam family: 5.8S ribosomal RNA (bases 1-105)
Source: RNAcentral
AAGCUGCGAUAAGUAAUGUGAAUUGCAGAAUUCAGUGAAUCAUCGAAUCUUUGAACGCACAUUGCGCCCGCCAGUAUUCUGGCGGGCAUGCCUGUCCGAGCGUCAUUUCAACCAUCAAGCCCCCGGGCUUGUGUUGGGGACCUGCGGCUGCCCGCAGGCCCUGAAAACCAGUGGCGGGCUCGCUGUCACACCGAGCGUAGUAGCAAUCACCUCGCUCAGGGCGUGCUGCGGGUUCCGGCCGUUAAACAGCCUUACAAAACCCAAGGUUGACCUCGGAUCAGGUAGGAAGACCCGCUGAACUUAAGC